RNAcentral lists this ribosomal RNA (1590 nucleotides) under Proasellus coiffaiti. RNAcentral's name for it is "bacterial LSU rRNA". It matches the Rfam family "Bacterial large subunit ribosomal RNA", at positions 1123 to 2821 of the family's 2925-position model. The record is from RNAcentral. Lineage: Eukaryota; Metazoa; Arthropoda; Malacostraca; Isopoda; Asellidae.
UUAAAGAAAGCGUAACAGCUCACUGGUCUAAAUAAGGGUCUUUGCGCCGAAAAUGUAACGGGGCUAAAGCCAUGCACCGAAGCUGAGGACACAUAGCAAUAUGUGUGGUAGCAGAGCGUUCCGUAAGCCUGUGAAGGGACAGCCGUGAGGCAUCCUGGAGGUAUCGGAAGUGCGAAUGUUGACAUGAGUAACGAUAAAGGGAGUGAGAGACUCCCUCGCCGAAAGACCAAGGGUUCCUGCUUAAAGUUAAUCUGAGCAGGGUUAGCCGGCCCCUAAGACGAGGCAGACAUGCGUAGUCGAUGGGAACCACGUUAAUAUUCGUGGGCCUGGUGGUAGUGACGGAUCUUGUAUAUAGUCCAUCCUUAUUGGAUUGGGUGGGCUGUGAAGAGGUUCCAGGAAAUAGCUCCACCAUUAUAGACCGUACCCGAAACCGACACAGGUGGUCAGGUAGAGUAUACCAAGGCGCUUGAGAGAACUGCGUUGAAGGAACUCGGCAAAUUGCACGCGUAACUUCGGAAGAAGCGUGACCUGCAGGGACGCAAGUCUUUGUGGGUGGCACAGACCAGGGGGUAGCGACUGUUUAUCAAAAACACAGGGCUCUGCGAAGUAGCAAUACGACGUAUAGGGUCUGACGCCUGCCCGGUGCUGGAAGGUUAAGAGGAGAGGUGCAAGCUUUGAAUCGAAGCCCCAGUAAACGGCGGCCGUAACAAUAACGGUCCUAAGGUAGCGAAAUUCCUUGUCGGGUAAGUUCCGACCUGCACGAAUGGCGUAACGAUGGCCACACUGUCUCCUCCAGAGACUCAGCGAAGUUGAAAUGUUUGUGAUGAUGCAAUCUCCCCGCGGAAAGACGGAAAGACCCCAUGAACCUUUACUGUAGCUUUACAUUGGACUUUGAACAGAUCUGUGUAGGAUAGGUGGGAGGCUUUGAAGCGGUGCCGCUAGGUGUCGUGGAGCCAACGUUGAAAUACCACCCUGGUGUGUUUGAGGUUCUAACCUUGGCCCGUAAUCCGGGUUGGGGACAGUGUAUGGUAGGCAGUUUGACUGGGGCGGUCUCCUCCCAAAGUGUAACGGAGGAGUUCGAAGGUACGCUAAAUACGGUCGGAAAUCGUGUUGAUAGUGCAUUGGCAUAAGCGUGCUUGACUGCGAGACUGACAAGUCGAGCAGGUACGAAAGUAGGACAAAGUGAUCCGGUGGUUCUGUAUGGAAGGGCCAUCGCUCAACGGAUAAAAGGUACUCUGGGGAUAACAGGCUGAUACCGCCCAAGAGUUCAUAUCGACGGCGGUGUUUGGCACCUCGAUGUCGGCUCAUCUCAUCCUGGGGCUGUAGCCGGUCCCAAGGGUAUGGCUGUUCGCCAUUUAAAGAGGUACGUGAGCUGGGUUUAGAACGUCGUGAGACAGUUCGGUCCAUAUCCGGUGUAGGCGUUAGAAUAUUGAGAGGAUUCUUCUUUAGUACGAGAGGACCGAGAAGAACAUACCUAUGGUGUGCCAGUUAUCGUGCCAACGGUAAACGCUGGGUAGCUAUGUAUGGAGUGGAUAACCGCUGAAAGCAUCUAAGUGGGAAGCCCUCCUCGAGAUGAGUAUUCUUAUCACA